This 1448-nucleotide ribosomal RNA is filed under the name Enterobacter cloacae. Its description in RNAcentral is "bacterial LSU rRNA". It matches the Rfam family "Bacterial large subunit ribosomal RNA", at positions 1 to 1487 of the family's 2925-position model. Lineage: Bacteria; Pseudomonadati; Pseudomonadota; Gammaproteobacteria; Enterobacterales; Enterobacteriaceae. RNAcentral also lists the same sequence under 1 other name. The record is from RNAcentral.
GGGUUGUGAGGUUAAGCGACUAAGCGUACACGGUGGAUGCCCUGGCAGUCAGAGGCGAUGAAGGACGUGCUAAUCUGCGAAAAGCGCCGGCGAGGUGAUAUGAACCUUUGACCCGGCGAUGUCCGAAUGGGGAAACCCAGUGUGUUCCGACACACUAUCGUUAACUGAAUACAUAGGUUAACGAGGCGAACCGGGGGAACUGAAACAUCUAAGUACCCCGAGGAAAAGAAAUCAACCGAGAUUCCCCCAGUAGCGGCGAGCGAACGGGGAGCAGCCCGGAGUCUGAAUCAGCUUGUGUGUUAGUGGAACGGUCUGGAAAGUCCGACGGUACAGGGUGAUAGUCCCGUACACGAAAAUGCACAUGCUGUGAACUCGAAGAGUAGGGCGGGACACGUGGUAUCCUGUCUGAAUAUGGGGGGACCAUCCUCCAAGGCUAAAUACUCCUGACUGACCGAUAGUGAACCAGUACCGUGAGGGAAAGGCGAAAAGAACCCCGGCGAGGGGAGUGAAAAAGAACCUGAAACCGUGUACGUACAAGCAGUGGGAGCACCUUCGGGUGUGACUGCGUACCUUUUGUAUAAUGGGUCAGCGACUUAUAUUCUGUAGCAAGGUUAACCGUAUAGGGGAGCCGAAGGGAAACCGAGUCUUAACUGGGCGUUAAGUUGCAGGGUAUAGACCCGAAACCCGGUGAUCUAGCCAUGGGCAGGUUGAAGGUUGGGUAACACUAACUGGAGGACCGAACCGACUAAUGUUGAAAAAUUAGCGGAUGACCUGUGGCUGGGGGUGAAAGGCCAAUCAAACCGGGAGAUAGCUGGUUCUCCCCGAAAGCUAUUUAGGUAGCGCCUCGUGAACUCAUCUUCGGGGGUAGAGCACUGUUUCGGCUAGGGGGCCAUCCCGGCUUACCAACCCGAUGCAAACUACGAAUACCGAAGAAUGUUAUCACGGGAGACACACGGCGGGUGCUAACGUCCGUCGUGAAGAGGGAAACAACCCAGACCGCCAGCUAAGGUCCCAAAGUCAUGGUUAAGUGGGAAACGAUGUGGGAAGGCACAGACAGCCAGGAUGUUGGCUUAGAAGCAGCCAUCAUUUAAAGAAAGCGUAAUAGCUCACUGGUCGAGUCGGCCUGCGCGGAAGAUGUAACGGGGCUAAACCAUGCACCGAAGCUGCGGCAGCGACGCUUAUGCGUUGUUGGGUAGGGGAGCGUUCUGUAAGCCGUUGAAGGUGUGCUGUGAGGCAUGCUGGAGGUAUCAGAAGUGCGAAUGCUGACAUAAGUAACGAUAAAGCGGGUGAAAAGCCCGCUCGCCGGAAGACCAAGGGUUCCUGUCCAACGUUAAUCGGGGCAGGGUGAGUCGACCCCUAAGGCGAGGCCGAAAGGCGUAGUCGAUGGGAAACAGGUUAAUAUUCCUGUACUUGGUGUUACUGCGAAGGGGGGACGGAGAAGGCUAUGU